UAGUGAAAUAUAAAAUCUGCUGCAGAUAACAGAUGUGUUACGAGGAAGAGGCUCCAAGAUCAGAUUUCAGGAGCAACCCUGUGCGUCGAUGUCGCCACAUCAGAGUUGCUACAUGGAAAACGGAUCCCCUUCUUCAAACCACAGUCGAGGAUCUUCACCUCUGAUGACGCCACACAGCCUCAAUCCCAGUGCUUCCCAUUCCCUAAAGACCUCAUCUGCACUCUACUAGUUUAGUGCUGAAUUUCAAGGGGACUUUGCAACUACCUCCUUACAGCUAAGCCUCAAACUCAGGACUUUGGGAAUGGAUUUUCCUCAUGCAAAGACCAGAAGAUAUCAGCAUUAGACUAAACUGUCAAACUGAACACUUCCCAAACGUCACCUCCUCUGACUUUCUAUUGCCCGCCAGACUAUGCAUCUUAAAUCAUACAGCUGCUGUUUUGGACACCUAUCGUGUGAAUAUGAACACAUAAAACUUCUGAGGAAUGCAGCCACAUAAAUAAGGGAUUUCCUCCUUUGCAAAGAAGCACAAACAGAAAUUUAAAACUGAAUGUAAAAAAAAAAAGACUGAAUGUGAAAGACUUGUGAAAAAACCUACAUAUAUCUCUCUGCAUUACAUGAAAGAAUGCUUCAUGUAAUCAUGUUUUCUGCCACUUUGCCUUUUAUGUAUGAUGCAUGUCAGCCCAUGGACUGAUAUGGGGAAAUGAGAGGCUUUAAAGGAGAAACAUUUAUUCAAAGUUUAUUUGAAGAUUCCAGUAUUGCUUUUGUGAAUGUUCAUUUAUUACAGACUGCAAAGAAAUAGAAACAUACCAUAUUUAAACAACCUAAAAUAGGAAGUGGUACAUUGUUUGUUUGUGUUUGUAUUACUGUAUGGAAUUUUCUACCAUGUCCAAAGUUACCUGUUUUAGUUUGUACAACAGAUUUUAUUUUGUCCUAAAACAAUUAUCCACCCUGUUGCAUUCAUGAGUUGUAGACCAUUAUUAAUUAAGCAAUAUGCCAUGGGCCAUGAUCCAUUAUAAGGUAAGGAAAAUUCAAUUGAUUAUUUCCACUUAAUUUAUGCAUGAAAUAUAGCAACCUCACAUAUUUGUUUUAUAUUGUCAUUAGGAAUAAAAAUUGUCUUUAGGAUUUUUUAAACACUUGUUUAAAAACAUGUCACUAAUGAGCUGAUCUUAUAUAUGAAGUCAGGACUACAAAAUUACAUAAAAUAUAUCUCUUAAAUGUAUAUAGCCCCCAUUUUUAGUAAACCAUUUUAAUAUUUCUACAAAUAAAAUAUUUAUAAUAGCACUAAAUGAAGAAACUGUUAUUAAUUGACUGCGGCAAUGUAUGCAUGUGCAUGUUGAUUUUUUUUUUAUAUUCUCAGUUGCACAUUCGUUUGAGUCUGAGCAUGAUAUUUUUAAUAGCUGCAAACUUUCUUUUCAUAUGCUGUAAAUGACCAGUUUCAUAUCAUGACUUUUGUUUUGUAUUAUUUUUUACACUUGUGUGAAUCUGGUAUGUCAGUUUGCUUCUGUUACGCUUGAAUUUCCCCGCUGAGGGACAAUAAAGGAUAUUUUUGUUCUUUUCAA
This is a long non-coding RNA of Cyprinodon tularosa, 1559 nucleotides long. RefSeq lists it as uncharacterized. The transcript is spliced from 2 exons. The record is from RefSeq and is a predicted model, not a curated record. NCBI's taxonomy places the organism in Eukaryota, Metazoa, Chordata, Actinopteri, Cyprinodontiformes, Cyprinodontidae.